RNAcentral lists this ribosomal RNA (274 nucleotides) under Staphylococcus aureus. RNAcentral's name for it is "partial 23S ribosomal RNA". It matches the Rfam family "Bacterial large subunit ribosomal RNA", at positions 1603 to 1878 of the family's 2925-position model. Lineage: Bacteria; Bacillati; Bacillota; Bacilli; Caryophanales; Staphylococcaceae. The record is from RNAcentral.
CACUGCCGAGAAAAGCCUCUAGAUAGAAAAUAGGUGCCCGUACCGCAAACCGACACAGGUAGUCAAGAUGAGAAUUCUAAGGUGAGCGAGCGAACUCUCGUUAAGGAACUCGGCAAAAUGACCCCGUAACUUCGGGAGAAGGGGUGCUCUUUAGGGUUAACGCCCAGAAGAGCCGCAGUGAAUAGGCCCAAGCGACUGUUUAUCAAAAACACAGGUCUCUGCUAAACCGUAAGGUGAUGUAUAGGGGCUGACGCCUGCCCGGUGCUGGAAGGUU